Molecule: unclassified non-coding RNA, 254 nt
Filed under: uncultured fungus
Lineage: Eukaryota; Fungi
Description: sequence contains ITS1, 5.8S rRNA gene
Rfam family: 5.8S ribosomal RNA (bases 206-254)
Source: RNAcentral
UCUCCGUUGGUGAACCAGCGGAGGGAUCAUUACCGAGUUUACAACUCCCCAACCCCCUGUGAACAUACCUACCGUUGCCUCGGCGGGAUCGCCCCGGCCGCCCAGCGCGCCGGACCAAGGCCCCCGCCGCAGGAACCCAAAACUCCUGUCAGUCAUCAGUGGAUUAUUCUGAGUGGCCCUCCGGGGCCUUUGAAAAAUAAAUCAAAACUUUCAACAACGGAUCUCUUGGUUCUGGCAUCGAUGAAGAACGCAGC